Camellia sinensis is the source of this 540-nucleotide non-coding RNA. Lineage: Eukaryota; Viridiplantae; Streptophyta; Magnoliopsida; Ericales; Theaceae. The record is from RefSeq and is a predicted model, not a curated record.
ACAAAUCUGAACUAUCACGAAAAAUAAGACCUCUUGGUAAAAGUGCUAAGCUAGCACACAAUAUUGUCCUCACCAAACCUGAUAAUGUAGAAAUGGUUGAAUGGAAAGCAUUUGUGAAACAACGAACUUCCAAAGAAUUUAAGGCAAAGAGUAAAAGAUUUAGGGCAAUGAGAAAAAAGCAAACCCUCUUUCACACCAUAAGUCAUAAAGGUUAUGCACAAUUAGAGGAUGAAAUGGUAAAUUUAAGAGUGAUUCAAGUAAUUUUGUAAAUUGGGUAUGAAGUAUGGUUACUUUGAGAUUGUUUUAAUCAUGUUGAUUUUCAUUUUCUAUUUUAUUUUCUAGAGAAGAGAAAGUCGAGCACCAUCAUCCAUAUCAAGAGUUGAUGUUUGGAUUAAAGGGCAUACGAGGAAGGAAGGAAAAUCCAUGAAUGAAGUGCUUGAUGCGACUGUGGUGAAUGAAGUUGGUUCUAUUACUGAAAGCAUUGAAGCUAUGAAAUUAUCUAAACGUGGUGGUUCUUCAAUUGCAAACCUUCCAACUGGU